Molecule: small nucleolar RNA, 82 nt
Organism: Homo sapiens (human)
Lineage: Eukaryota; Metazoa; Chordata; Mammalia; Primates; Hominidae
Gene: SNORD115-25
Product: small nucleolar RNA, C/D box 115-25
Source: Ensembl
AGGUCGAUUAUGAGAACCUUAUAUUGUCCUGAAGAGAGGUGAUGACUUAAAAAUCAUGCCCAAUAGGAUUACGCUGAGGCCC